Oncorhynchus tshawytscha (Chinook salmon) is the source of this 745-nucleotide RNA transcript. It is a transcript of the gene named KICSTOR complex protein kaptin-like, with no coding region annotated. NCBI's taxonomy places the organism in Eukaryota, Metazoa, Chordata, Actinopteri, Salmoniformes, Salmonidae. The record is from RefSeq and is a predicted model, not a curated record. The transcript has 4 exons.
GGAUGUUGUGCUUUUCGAUUGCUCCUAUGCUGGUGAUGGGAAGUUGCGAAGUUGCACUAGUUUUGGCAAAUACAUAUGAAAUACAUGGUAUUUACUAGGUCAAGAGCAUGCUGCGUGAGGGGAAAGAAGUGUGUCCCUUCGCAGAGGAUAGUUUCAGCCGCUUUUUCUGUCCCAGAGUAACACAUGUACGGACUCUGCUGGCUGGAGAGCAAGAGCUAACGUUACUCACCGCUACUCUGAAAGGCAAAGUUGUCUGUUUCAUGUACCAAUACCUCCAACAGAAAAUCAGACCUGUUGCCAAAGAAGUACAUCUACAUACCAGGUGAAGAUGAGAUAGCUCCGUAAUGUAUCCUGCUACUGUUGCAUUAUUGCUACACUGGUGAACUUGGUUGUGACAGUGAGGUGUGCUCUCGUUGAUGCAGAGAUUGUAUCAACUGAUGCUAUCAACAAAUCCCCACCAAACAGGGGGCUGGUCGUAGGCAUAACGUCCAUCAAGAUAUUCUUAAAUUCCCUACCCUUCUCCUAGACUCUGGUGACAAAGCCACUCUUUUCCUCAACAUCUACUGUGACUACAAGCCAUGAGAGCUGUCUGAACCUGGAGCUGCAGUUUACCCCCUUCCAGCUUUACCACAAAGAGUAGUAUUGUACACACUACCGUGACGCAAUCUCAAUCGCACUCCACACUGCCCUUUUCCACUAUGUGAGAAUGCUGUUCAUUGACUACAGCUCAGUGUUCAACACCAUA